RNAcentral lists this long non-coding RNA (1222 nucleotides) under Coturnix japonica (Japanese quail). RNAcentral's name for it is "lncRNA (ENSCJPG00005017982.1)". The record is from RNAcentral. Lineage: Eukaryota; Metazoa; Chordata; Aves; Galliformes; Phasianidae.
GUGAGUUCCAUCUCUUAGAGAGACUGUUGUUGAAGAGAGCAUUCAAAGCCUUGCUGAAGUCAAUGUAAAUAAUAUCCAUGUGCUCCCUUCAUCUGUCCACCAUUUUUUCCGUUACAGAAGGCUAUCGGAUUGUUAUUGCAGUGUUCAUCUUGGAAAUAGAACAACAGUUACUGUGAAGCUAGAUUUGUAAACCUGAAGUAAUGGUCUGUUUUCUUCUACAAGAGACUCUCACUUUAAGUGACAGAGCAUAAGAACUGGGAAGAACAAGGUAAUGCAGAGAGAAUAGUUCUAAAGAAGGAAGUAAACUAUUCACUCCCCACAUCAGACUCCCAUAAGCGACACAAAGACACAGUCUUGAUAGCCAGCUUUGUCCUAGAUUUUGUACUUUGACUGGAGCAGGGCUUGGAAAAUAUCUGCUUUUCUUUAGGGGGAGGAUAGAAAGGGAACAUUCAUUGUUGUAUUUAUAUUAAAUGAAACAUAUUUAUAUUAAAUGAAAAUGCUUAAUUAACAUUUGUUUAAUUGCAUUCGUAGUUCAACUUCUAUCUACUACUUUCCCUGCCUUUUUUAUAUUCCAAAUCUUGGUUAGUAACAUAGAGGUCAUUUGUUGCUGAUUUUGAUUUUCUCAUCAUGAAAUGUCUUUACUGCUAAGCUAUGGAUGCCAUUUAUUUUACAUGCAGUAGAUACUUUAUUGCUUUGUAACUUUACAGUAGAAACUGCACAUAAUGGUUAAGAUCAUUAUCUCUUUUCAGCAUAUUCACAUGUGAAUAGAGACCUGGUAAUCAACGGUUGGACUGGAUGAUCUUAGAGAUAAUUGAGCAAAUUUGUAGUCAAAAGUAUUUCAGAGUCAUCAACACAAGGCAGGUAAGUCCUGAACAUUUCGUUCAUCCUGUUUGGAUAGAUGUAACAGAUAAUGGAAUUGAUGUGCUGGUUAGAAAUGAACUAUGGUGCAUGUCAUAUAAAUAGAUAUAUGGUUUGCAGACUUUUUUCUGUUACUGGUCUAAAUCUAGAGAUAUACUAGCUGUUACCUUUUUACUGAGGUCAUUCCAGAAGUAGUGUCUCCUCUUUAUUUCCAUGGAAACUACAACAGAUGCAAAGAGCAGAAUAACAUUGUUUGAUAGACCAAAUUCUUGGCUACCAAGCACUAUUUUUCAACAUAGUCGCAACUAUUAGCUGGUUCAUGCAAAUGAGCUGAUCAGAAUACUCUUCAUUUCAUGAUAUGAUA